GCACGACUUGGCCUACCCCCCUUUUUCUCUGUCUUCUUCCUCCCAUCUUCUUCCUUCCUCCUUCUUCCGCCUCUGCAAGUCCCGCGCUCCGACGAAGACGCGCUUGAGCACCACCUACAGUAGAGAGAGGAGCGUAGGCCGGUGGCUGAGAGGACGCAGCAUUGAUGGCGAGCGAGCCUCCGUGGAAGGGGGGGAACUGACGCCGGUUCGGCCGACGAAGGAAGGCCGGUUAGUGCACCAAAGACCGCCGGUCUAGCCUUUGCCGACCAGCACCCCCACGCCUAUAAAUAGGGUGUCGGGGGGGAAGGC
RNAcentral lists this long non-coding RNA (309 nucleotides) under Eucalyptus grandis. RNAcentral's name for it is "long non-coding RNA (EGRA_LNC004345)". Lineage: Eukaryota; Viridiplantae; Streptophyta; Magnoliopsida; Myrtales; Myrtaceae. The record is from RNAcentral.